This 161-nucleotide ribosomal RNA is filed under the name Billburttia capensoides. RNAcentral describes it as "5.8S ribosomal RNA". It matches the Rfam family "5.8S ribosomal RNA". Rfam says of the family: 5.8S ribosomal RNA (5.8S rRNA) is a component of the large subunit of the eukaryotic ribosome. It is transcribed by RNA polymerase I as part of the 45S precursor that also contains 18S and 28S rRNA. Lineage: Eukaryota; Viridiplantae; Streptophyta; Magnoliopsida; Apiales; Apiaceae. The record is from RNAcentral.
ACGACUCUCGACAACGGAUAUCUCGGCUCUCGCAUCGAUGAAGAACGUAGCGAAAUGCGAUACUUGGUGUGAAUUGCAGAAUCCCGUGAACCAUCGAGUCUUUGAACGCAAGUUGCGCCCGAAGCCAAUAGGCCGAGGGCACGCCUGCCUGGGUGUCACGC